RNAcentral lists this ribosomal RNA (253 nucleotides) under uncultured bacterium. RNAcentral's name for it is "partial 16S ribosomal RNA". It matches the Rfam family "Bacterial small subunit ribosomal RNA", at positions 524 to 776 of the family's 1533-position model. The record is from RNAcentral.
UACGAGGGGGGCUAAUGUUGUUCGGAAUCACUGGGCGUAAAGCGUGCGCAGGCGGUUUGUUAAGUCUGCUGUGAAAUCCCCGAGCUCAACUUGGGAAUUGCAGUGGAUACUGGCAGGCUGGAGUAUGGUAGAGGAAGGUGGAAUUCCCGGUGUAGCAGUGAAAUGCGUAGAGAUCGGGAGGAACACCAGUGGCGAAGGCGGCCUUCUGGACCAAUACUGACGCUCAUGCACGAAAGCGUGGGGAGCAAACAGG